AUGGGAAUGGGAUGGGAAGGCAAAGAGGCGGGGGGGGUGGGUGCUGUUGUUGCCACGGGAAUGGAAUGGGAGGAUUUGUUGUGCUGUGGCUUCCAUGGGAGCAGGAUGCCCUACAUCCCAAGGCUGGGGCCCAGCAGCUGCCCAGCCCACCACAGAGCUUCUCAUCCCCCUUUGUUUCAGCACCCUCAUCUACCUGAGCUCGCUGGUCUCCUUCCUGUAAGUCGCCCCGUAGCCAUGGGCCAAGCCCCAUUCCGGGGACGUGGGGCAGCAGAGCUGCUCUUUCACACCAGUGUCCCCAGCUCCACCACUGUCCUCUUCCUCCUGGUUCUUGCUAGCUUGGUUCUGCUCAGCUUAGUCAACCGUGGGGCUCCUCUAGCUAGUUGGGGUGACAGGGUAUCAGGGGAUGCUCCGUGGUGGAGUGGUCCCAGGGGCCCGAGGGGACAGGCUGAAGUCCCCCCACAUGUCUCCUGCAGCAGUGGCCUGGGAGGACAGGCUGAAGCAGGGGCUCUGCAGCACAGUGAGUCGGUGCUGCUGGCACAGGUGUCACCAUCACAGCUGGCCACACGUCCUCUGCUGCCCCCACUGCGGCUCCUCCGUGGAGGUGGGGGACGUGGGGCACCCUGGGAGGCGGGGGGGCUCUGCAUGUCUCUGAGAUGUUACCCACCCCACCACAUCCCGCCCCUCAGCCCCAUUAACCCAGUCCUGUACCCCUGUCCCUACACACUGUAUAGCCUUCCAACCCGUCCUGCCCUAUAUAUUGUGCCCCCACACCUACUGCACCCCCUAAACCCCAUCUGUAGCUUGCAUGCUCGGCCCUACACGCUGCGCCCCAUAUGCACCCAUCCCUAUAGGUUACACCUUGCACACCCAGCCCUGCUCCCUGCAGCCCCUACACACCAUACCCUACACCCAGCCCUAUGCGUUGUCGCACAGCUGUCCAUGUUGCACCCUACACCCCCCUCCAUGCUUCCUGCACGCUGCACACCCAGCCCUGUGCACCCAGACACUCCUUGCACACCCCGUGCACACACACACACACACGCUCACCCCCACCUUGCACAAGAAGACACCCUCCCUGCACGCACAGCAGAGGGCAGCCCCAUGGGGUGCAUGGGACCUAUAGGGGACUCCCCACCCAGCACCCCUGUGCCGCACCAGUUCUACCAGCGUUGCCUACGGCUGAAGGAACACGUCAGCUCCCACGGCGCCUGGUGCCUCUGCCUCUUCGUGAUGGUCACCGUGAGCUGUGUCAUGGCAGUCCUGCUGUUCUGCUUAACCUACCUGGUGAUCAUUCCCCUGUGGACCGUCAUCAUGGUGCUGAUGUGCGUGUAUCCUUGGCCGGGGGAGGCAGAGCCCUGCCCUGGCACGCAGGCACACGUGCUGCACCACACAGGCGGUCGCAUGCAGGAGCCUAUCCCCCUGCCUACACGUGGCCCCAGGGCCAGCACCACCCACAGGUGCCCACUGCACGGGGGCAUGCAGUGGCCCCCUUGGCCAGCCCACCUGCGUCUGUUUGUCCUUGACUCACUGCUCCAGCAUCAUGAUGACCUUCCUCGCCAGUGUCUGCCUGAGCCUGAUUCAGCCCUGGAUCCCCUCCAUCUCCCAAGCACUGCAUACUUCGUGGUUGCAGGUUGCUACCAUGGCCAAAAUCUGGCACGACAAGCAGGAGUCAAUGGCAGGGCCUGGGGCCAUGGUCGACAGCGAAGACUCUGAAUGAGACUCUCACACCCAGCUCAGGCUGUGAUCCAGCCAGAGAAGCGGACAAUAAAGACCUUCACUCCAAGCUUCUGGUGAUCGAU
Long non-coding RNA from Calidris pygmaea (Spoon-billed sandpiper), 1799 nucleotides. NCBI's taxonomy places the organism in Eukaryota, Metazoa, Chordata, Aves, Charadriiformes, Scolopacidae. The record is from Ensembl.